This is a long non-coding RNA of Cucumis melo (muskmelon), 512 nucleotides long. RefSeq lists it as uncharacterized. The transcript has 3 exons. NCBI's taxonomy places the organism in Eukaryota, Viridiplantae, Streptophyta, Magnoliopsida, Cucurbitales, Cucurbitaceae. The record is from RefSeq and is a predicted model, not a curated record.
UGGACCAUCAAGGAAUUGGUGAAGAAAUAUGGAGUGCAACACCGAGUUUCAACUUCGUAUUAUCCUCAAACAAAUGGCCAAGCAGAAAUUUCCAAUUGAGAGUUGAGAUUAUAAGUGAGAAAACAAGAAUAAUUCUCAAAGUAAAUGGACAUAGACUCAAAAUCUUCAUUGAAGGGGAAUCCACAUCAUCCCAAGUGUGCAAGAUCACACUUCUCCAUCCCACCUACACUUGAGAUCACAAGAAUAAACGGAAUGAACAUUUGCAUACUAAUAAGGAAUUCAAUGCUUUCUCCAAGCAUGCUUUCCACCAAGCAAAUAUCAAGAAACAUCUAGGGGAGUACACUAUUUCCCUUUCCUUUCUCUUUCACUUUACUUUGCUUUUCAAAAGCUUUGAGGACAAAGAAAUUUUUUAAAUGUGGGGUGGAUAGCAUAUUUCUUGGUACUUAACUUGCAUGUGUAUGAAUAUGGGGUCCUAUUUUUUUUAAGAUUGCAUAUCUAUCCAACCCUUAAGC